Molecule: non-coding RNA, 952 nt
Organism: Paramuricea clavata
Lineage: Eukaryota; Metazoa; Cnidaria; Anthozoa; Malacalcyonacea; Plexauridae
Source: the annotation of a GenBank genome assembly
CGUCGUGUUUUCAGUCAAAAGCAUAGGAAAAACACCGUUCGAAAGUAGAAAAAUAAAUAUUUUUGCGAAGUUGCUCCACCGAUCUUCAUUUUGGGACUCAAAUUUGAAAGAUAAAUGGUAAGUAGUUAUUUUUAUGUAAAAAGAUAUACGUUUAUAGGCUAAAUACAAAGAAAAAAAACAGUAUAAUCUUUGUACCGCAUGGCCAUAUUUUACAAUGCUUGUGAUGUUCUGCCAAGAAGCAGAUUCCCAUCUCGCUAAAUUAAUGGCCAAACGUAUUGCUUUCCUGUCUUUUACAUUAAUAAGAAAGCAUGGUUGCUGAUUUGAAACACUUCCAUUGCACACUUCCAUCAGGUUCCAUGUAGCUUUGGGAUUUGUGAGCAAAAAUUAAAAGUUAAACUACCUAUGUUUUUAAUACUUUCUGUGCAACUGUUUUAAUAAGCACAUUCACAAAUGUAUUCUCCAGCAAAGAAACGUUUCUUUACGGAUUGUUAAUCCGCCUGCACUGCUUAUGCCUUCAAAGGUCAGAGGUCUUGAACAUGCAGAAUAGCAGGGACUACUGUCAUUGACAUCCUUUGUCACAAAAUUAUGAUGGCAUAUUGGACAGCUAUGUUGGAUAAGGCACUUGCUAAAUAGUCUGACACAUAAGUUAAUGCAGACUAAGUUUUGUUCAAUUUCAUUUGUUUUGUAGUCGGUAUCUUCAACUGCUUGGAUUAGUGGUGGGCUUGUCUGAUCAUUUCCUGCAGAUAAAUCAGAUUGGCUAGGGUGAAAUGCAAUCAAAUAGGCAUCAGAAUCUUCAGCACAGCUGCCAAUUGAAAGUGGUGUCAAAAUAUUAUCUACAAAUAAUUUGCAAAAUGCUCUGGUGAACUGGAUGGGACUAAUGGGUUGUCACAAUCCCCCCCCCCCCUGCUGCCUAAUGAGGCCAAAGAAGUUCUCCAGAGGAUCUUGGUUGAGA